Ictalurus furcatus (blue catfish) is the source of this 4899-nucleotide long non-coding RNA. RefSeq lists it as uncharacterized. NCBI's taxonomy places the organism in Eukaryota, Metazoa, Chordata, Actinopteri, Siluriformes, Ictaluridae. The transcript is spliced from 3 exons. The record is from RefSeq and is a predicted model, not a curated record.
CUUAAUCCUAUUACAUGCCACAACACUGCGCCCGUCCACACGCUGUGCUCAAUGCAGUGCCAGCGGCCCGGCUGGAAGGCACCCGCACUUUAUUAAAACGCCACAGUACACCAUGUGCCAGGGGAACAGGGCCGGAGAGAGUGGGUACACGCUGACCCUCCAUAACGUCACCACACAGCGCUGCACUCUGUUUCUUGGUUUUAAAGCUAAUUGAUCAAGAUACUUCCAGUGUUGUUUCUGAAUUGGGCUUUGAGUUGAUCCUCAAAAUUCUGCGAGGAGCCGUGAGGAUUCGUAAGCGCAGCGUUCCAGUUACGUCUGUUUUUGGAAAGAGAUUGUUUGUUUAUUGGAGAAAUUUCACUAUUUACUCUGAAAUGAUCCGAUCUUGUUCCCCAUUCGAAAAAAAAGGCAGUAUUACUCAUGUUAAAGAAGUCUAAUUUUACACCAUUGAGUAGUGUAAGCAAAGCAUCAAUUUACACGUUCACUAAUUUACAUUAACAUUAUAGGAGUGCCAAGCUCAGGAGGGCAUGUUCUAUCACCAGACAUUGUGCUUUUUCUAACAUGUGGCAGGGCGGUAAGUGUUCCUGCCAUCUUGCCAGAGUGUGGUGGGAAUUUUUUAUUGAUAAACCUUGUGAUGAACCUGUGUGUCACUUUGGCUCAAGGGAUGACCCUAAGUGGGGUGCAGGAAAGACAAUUUCUUUAGAUUUCAUUCCCUCACCCACCACCUUGAAUCUGGUGUCAGCCAGCAGUGAUGCAAGGCAAUGAGGCGUCCUCAGUGGCUGUGGAUAAAAUUCCAGGCCCUGUUUCUCAAGAGGUAGCAUAUGAGACAGCUGCAGAGGAGGGACAGCAUCUGUUCACCAGAGGAAUGACCCGAGUAUUACGACACGGUCGUAUAUUGUUUAUGAGGCCCUUUUCGCUUUCUUCUCCGAAGAUUGCAGAAACUGUUUUCAGACUCCUUUGCAGGAUUGAUGUUGUGUGUCAUCAUGAAAAUGCAGAAUGCAAACACAGUGACAUGAAAGACAAACGCGACAGUUGCACUCAUGUUGCUUUUUCCAUGCCAUUUUCAAAUGUCCUUCAAGCUCGCUCUGGAUUGUUACUGGUAGUGUGAGUUAUCCUGAAUUGUCUGGUUGGAAGACAGGAAAUCAGUAUAAAAAAAACAAAACAAGAAUCAAUAUCGCAGGCACAGCAUAUUCUUAACUUGUGAUGAUAAAAAAAAAAUUGUACAAGUUGCACAGCCAUUUUAUUGUUUUAUAAAGUGGGAACUUACACCAGUUAUAUAUAAAGUAUGUUUAGUGUAACUAUUUCUACUUAGAAACAGUGUAAAAUGCUAAUGUGUUUAUUCUUAUAAACGACUUCAAUGAUGUGUGUUGGUUUACCCAGCGCAGUGUUCAGUUUGAAUUAUUUAUCAGUGCUAAACUGAGGUUUGUUUGCCCAGUGGGAAGUCUGUGCAGAAACAGUACUGAAGCAGACGACUCUGUCCUUUAAAUGCUCUUUACUUGCUCUCACACCGACGACAAAAUGGCCUGUUGAAGAUCACAGAGGUUAAGCCGCUGACCAGCCUGGCUGUUGGCAGCACAGAGGUUUUUAAGCUUUGUGUGUGUGUGUGUGUGUGUGUGUAUGUAUAUGUGUGUGUGUGUGUGUGUGUGUGUGUGUGUGUGUGUGUGUGGUGGAUGUACGCUGCUGGAGCAGGUUCUCUGGACCUGCCACAGUGCACAGAUGCAUCAGACAUCUGUCCAUUCUUUUUGUCUUCCUUGGGGCUAAGACUUGUCUUUCCUGGCUCUCUCUUGCUUUAUACCAACUCCACACAGACGGAUCAGCUGUAGCGCCUGUGAGAGAGCAGGCACGUCGGGCACCCUGCUGGGUGGCCGUGUGAACGAGGCCUCUGAAGCUGCCCUUUGAUUCUCCUCUUUUCUUGUUCUCAUCUCAGCCCGAGUGAUCACAGCUCCCUCCAAACAGACGCAAAUGAAGCAGUUGUCUUUUGUUUGUCCCCCCCCGUCUGUCUGCCUCUCUGUCUCUCUCUCCUUCCUUUUCUUACUGCUUUUUUUUUGGGACCUCUCCCGGGCUCCCCAGCCCCCCGGCGCAUGUCGGGUAGACAGACAGGGCCGGCGGCUCCAGCAUCGGAUCAUCAGCCAGCUGUGCGGUGUGCAGCCGAGGAUCUGUCCUAAUCCCCCCGCUCUGUUCUCCGCCUUCUGACGGCUUUGAGCCCAGACUUUAUUCCAUUUGUUUGUUUGUUUUUUGUUUGCUUAUGCCUUUUUGUCCCGCUUCACCACCACCACCACCACCACCACUACACCCCCUUAUUACUUACACACCCCCAACUCUCACAACAUUCAGCAGACCCCACAGUGUGUAAAGUGGAAAAAAAACAUGCAAGCCAAAGAGCUGCAUACACUUACAGUGCUCUCAACUUCUGAUUCACAACUUUAGGCUCGCCUCUCUGGGUUUGCUGGAGUUCAUUGCAGUUUGGACAGGGAGGUUAGUUGCCUUUAUGACCGAUAUCCACAUGAAUUGUAGCAUCCAGAGUCUUAAAUUUUGAACCAGUGAUCACUAUGACCCAGUUAAGGAGAUCCUACAUAUCAAUGUCACUUCGUGAAAUAUAUGCUAGAUUGGGUAAGACAUUAAUCAUGCCAUCCAGGGACAUUUUGUCUGCGUCCAAAAUCGCAUACAGUGACAGUACCUACUGCAAUCGAUUCAGUACCUACUGCUCAAAAUACUGAUCAGUAUAAGAGGUAUGCAUGAAUACAAUCCGGACGUACUACGCGACGUGGAUUCUGACAACUCUUCCUCGCUAGUCCCGUUGCCUUAUGGGAUAGCGCAGUAUCCACAGUGUCCAGUGGUUCCACACUGCAGAAUCUCAGCAGAAGCAGUAGGUCAUCCAGGUAUUUCUCGCUUACUGUUUUAUGAAUACUGAGAAUCCGGACAUACUACUAGGGUAUUUGGACGCAGCCUUAGUACAUCUUUAUUAACUAUGCACAGCGGAGCUCAACCUUUUCCCUAAAUCUCAAGCUUGGUGUGUAUGUGACCGCACUAGAGCAUGCUUCCUCCUGCAUUACAGAUUUUCUAUCAAGACCACACUUUUGUGUUUGCUUUGGACCAGAAUGCAGAGAGCCAUGUUUUGUUGUUUGUGCUAAAGCUUUGUCAAACGUUUAUUUUUAGUAAAUCUCUCAUUUCAAAGACCUAAUUGAAAUUAUGCUUGCAGCGUGAGAUGACACAUGGCCUUAGAAGUGAAUGUGUUUGUGGAUCAUCACACUUCAGAAAUAGACAUGAUGCAUGAAAGUGUUUAAAGCAUUUCGAUUUAAUUGGGAGAGUUUGGUGUGUAGUAUGUGCAGAACUGUCGCACAGAGGUCUGGAGAGGGGGCAGCAGACAACUUCUUACGGCCUUUUGAGAAACCGUGUCUCCGUAACGCUCAUACUGAUGAUCAGGAGGCCUCUUGCGCUUUGCUGACAGUGUCAUUGACUUGUCCUCUGAAAAAAGUUCUUGUUCUAAAGCCCAUAAAGCAUUGAAGACCCACUGCAGCGUUGGCGUUAAGCACUUUCUCAUCCCACCCCAGAAUUCCAUUAAACUUUACACGCCUCUCUGCCUUCCUUCAACCUCACACGAGUGUGUGUGUAUGUGUGUAUGUGUGUGUGGGAGGGCAGAGCACAAUCCCCCGAAUAGGCGAGAAUGGGAAAAUGAAUAAAAGAGCGAGCAGAUGCAGCUCCAUGCCAGAGGGAGGCUGCCACUGUGCGUGAAGUCUGCCGCUCCACCAAACUGCUGCAAGACCAAGUCGGUGGGAGGUGCGUGUACCAUCCGACGGGCAACAAAAGCACGAAGCCUGUGCCCUUCGUGAAAAGUAGUAGGGGAAAAAGGAAAGGAGGUUGCCGCCAGCCGUGAGAAGCCAUGUUCGCGCUUUGGGGCGAGGGCGGGCGCGGGCACUGGCAGGUAGGAGGGCGGUAUGCGAGGUGCUGGGCGGCAGCCAUCUUGUUGGGGGGAGCAGAUGGCAGCAGGGCUGUGAGAGGAGGGGCUGCUUAGCAGAACUAAUCAGACAGUAACGGAUGGGGCAGCUGGGACCGCUGCCGGCCAGGCGGGACAGCACCAUGAUGUUGACAGUGGUGUGCCCGUUGGCCUGGCAAGAGACCUUGCCACGUCUUCACGCCUCGCCUACAGGGCUGCAGGCCCCCUCCUCGUGUGGCACAGGGCAGGACCACCGCUUUUGUCUUCUGUCAUUAUCGACCUCUCAGAACAUGACAUCACAUGGCCUUUUGUUUGAAUGAAUUAAAGUUUGUCCCAAAGUCUGGUGAGCAUAGGCAUGUAGCAUUCUAAAGAAAUAUUUGCAGUAUAUUCUUGUAGGUUAUCAGUCAUCUAGGUUAUUAAAUCCUAAUAGAAGGAAAGUCAAGGUCACGGUGAUUGGACUUGUGGCGUAAUAUUGAAAAAGGCAUGAUGCUGCCUGAGCCAAUUAUACAUUUAACCUGGCAUGACUAUAAUGCUGAUAUCACACUAGGUAGAAAAAAAAAAAUCAAAUCUAGAUCAGUACUAGCUGUCAGGGCUGGGCAACAUGACCAUUUUAUCAAGAUCAUAAUAUAUAAAUGUCAUUAGCUGUCAUUGUUUUAAUAAAUCCAUAGUUAGACACCGAUUCAACAUUAACCCCUUAAACUACCAGGACAGACUUUCCUAUCAGUUUGACUGUACUUACUGCAUAAGCCAUAGCAGCAGUAAUAUACUUAGAAUAAUUUGAAUUAAAAAUAAGCCAGGACUUCUAUAUUUUUAUGUAGAAGUCUGUAAGUUGAAUCUAUAUUCAACUUUAUCUAUAUCAUGAUUAACUUUGCAUGUGUGUGGUUUUAAGUAUAUGUUACAACAAAAUAUCAGGUCAUGAACAUUGGUUUAUUGUGAAGAUGUCCUCAAGUAUUGCGAUUUGUGUAUUU